Molecule: long non-coding RNA, 1176 nt
Filed under: Takifugu rubripes (torafugu)
Lineage: Eukaryota; Metazoa; Chordata; Actinopteri; Tetraodontiformes; Tetraodontidae
Description: lncRNA (ENSTRUG00000030830.1)
Source: RNAcentral
AUGGAUCAGAUCAGGUCAUGGAUCAGAUCAGGUCAUGGAUCAGAUCAGGUCAAGGAUCAGGUCAGGUCAGGGAUUAGGUCAGGUCACGGAUCAGGUCAGGUCACGGAUCAGGUCAGGUCAUGGAUCAGGUCAGGUCACAGGUCAGGUCAGGUCACGGAUCAGGUCAGGUCAUGGAUCAGGUCAGGUCACAGGUCAGGUCAGGUCACAGAUCAGGUCAUGGAUCAGAUCAGGUCAUGGAUCAGGUCAGGUCAAGGAUCAGGUCAGGUCACGGAUCAGGUCAGGUCAGGGAUUAGGUCAGGUCAUGGAUCAGGUCAGGUCACGGAUCAGGUCAGGUCAUGGAUCAGGUCAGGUCACAGGUCAGGUCAGGUCAUGGAUCAGGUCAGGUCACAGGUCAGGUCACAGAUCAGGUCAUGGAUGGGGUCAGGUCAUGGAUCAGGUCAGGUCCCGGAUCAGGUCAGGUCACAGGUCAGGUCAUGGAUCAGGUCAGGUCAUGGAUCAGGUCAUGGAUCAGGUCAGGUCACAGAUCAGGUCACAGGUCAGGUCAUGGAUCAGGUCAGGUCCCGGAUAAGGUCAGGUCACAGGUCAGGUCAGGUCACAGAUCAGGUCACGGAUCAGGUCAGGUCACAGGUCAGGUCAGGUCACAGAUCAGAUCAUGGAUCAGGUCAGGUCCCGGAUCAGGUAAGAUCCCGGAUCAGAUCAGGUCCCGGAUCAGGUCAGGUCACAGAUCAGGUCACGGAUCAGGUCAGGUCACAGAUCAGAUCAUGGAUCAGGUCAGGUCACGGAUCAGGUCAGGUCACAGGUCAGAUCAUGGAUCAGGUCAGGUCACAGAUCAGGUCAUGGAUCAGGUCAGGUCCCGGAUCAGGUAAGAUCCCGGAUCAGAUCAGGUCCCGGAUCAGGUCAGGUCACAGAUCAGGUCACGGAUCAGGUCAGGUCACAGAUCAGGUCAUGGAUCAGGUCAGGUCACAGGUCAGGUCCCGGAUCAGAUCAGGUCCCGGAUCAGGUCAGGUCACAGGUCAGGUCCCGGAUCAGGUCAGGUCACAGAUCAGGUCCCGGAUCAGGUCAGGUCACAGGUCAGGUCCCGGAUCAGAUCAGGUCCCGGAUCAGGUCAGGUCACAGGUCAGGUCCCGGAUCAGAUCAGGUCCCGGAUCAGGUCAGGUCAACUGUACCUCUGACUAA